Molecule: unclassified non-coding RNA, 267 nt
Filed under: plant metagenome
Description: partial contains small subunit ribosomal RNA, internal transcribed spacer 1, and 5.8S ribosomal RNA
Source: RNAcentral
UUUCCGUAGGUGAACCUGCGGAAGGAUCAUUAUCGUACAACAUGUGAGGGGCAUGCGGGGGGUGUCGCUGUCCCCAAAGUCGUGCCCGCCCGAGUGUGUACUCUUGAAUAAUAAUCCAUCUCAACCGUUGUGCCUCACCGCGUGGGCACCCGUCGGGAUCAUCUCGGAGGGGGGCUCGCGGUUUCUCACAAACCCCCCUUUUAAAAGUGUAGAAUGACCACAUUUAUGCAAUCAAUACAACUUUCAACAACGGAUCUCUUGGCUCUG